CCUCCCCCGAGGCUCCUUGACCUGCCCUGCCAGGGAGGUGCUGCUGCCCCUGCCUGCUGGCCUGGCACAGGUGGCACUGAGGGCGCUGGGCCCAGGCCUGCAGCCCCCAGCCCGGCCCUGGGGGAGGCCUCAGCAGCGCCCCCAGGCCAGGCUGCAGUGCUGCGGGGACAAGCUGAGGGCCUGAGUGGGCACUGGGGGGCGCUGGGCGGGGACGGGGAGGGGCUGGGGGAUUAGUGGGGGCAUACAAGGAGGUGAGUGGGGGUCUCUGGGAGGCCAGUGGGUGGGUCUGCGGGUCCCUGGGAGGUCCCUAGGAGGGUCUGGGGGUCCCAGGGUGGGUCUGAGGGUCCCUGAGAGAUCCCUAGGAGGGUCUGGGGGUCCCUGGGAGGGUCUGGGGGUCCCUGAGCCCUCCCCCUGCAGGCUCUGGGUCUCCCGGGGGGCUGGAGGCCUGCGGGGGGAGGUCUCCUCCUUCCUGGAGCUGCUGGGGCUGUGCUGGAGACCAUCGAGCGCUUCGGAGGGGCGGGGCAGGGGCAGGCCCCGCCCAUGCCAGAGGACGCACCAAUCAGCUGCUGACCCUCCCCGUCCUAACCAGUUCCCCCCCCCCAUAAAGCACCAAACUCCACCA
Long non-coding RNA from Pogoniulus pusillus (Red-fronted tinkerbird), 622 nucleotides. RefSeq lists it as uncharacterized. The record is from RefSeq and is a predicted model, not a curated record. The transcript is spliced from 2 exons. Lineage: Eukaryota; Metazoa; Chordata; Aves; Piciformes; Lybiidae.